This 2888-nucleotide ribosomal RNA is filed under the name Banduia mediterranea. Its description in RNAcentral is "23S ribosomal RNA". It matches the Rfam family "Bacterial large subunit ribosomal RNA". The record is from RNAcentral. Lineage: Bacteria; Pseudomonadati; Pseudomonadota; Gammaproteobacteria; Nevskiales; Algiphilaceae.
GGUCAAGCGACUAAGCGCAUCUGGUGGAUGCCUUGGCGGCAACAGGCGAUGAAGGACGUAGUAGCUUGCGAUAAGUCACGGGGAGCUAGCAAACAAGCUUUGAUCCGUGAAUUUCCGAAUGGGGCAACCCAACCCGCAAGGGUUAUCCGUGGCUGAAUACAUAGGUUACGGAGGCGAACCCGGAGAACUGAAACAUCUAAGUACCCGGAGGAAAAGAAAUCAACCGAGAUUCCCCUAGUAGCGGCGAGCGAACGGGGACUAGCCCUUAAGUUUUAUGCGUUUUAAUGGAACAGUCUGGAAAGGCUGGCCGUAGUGGGUGAUAGCCCCGUACAUGAAAGGGCGCAUAAGAUGAAAUCGAGUAGGGCGGGGCACGUGAAACCCUGUCUGAACAUGGGGGGACCAUCCUCCAAGGCUAAAUACUCGUUGCCGACCGAUAGUGAACCAGUACCGUGAGGGAAAGGCGAAAAGAACCCCGGCGAGGGGAGUGAAAUAGAACCUGAAACCGGAUGCGUACAAGCAGUCGGAGCUCCUUCGGGAGUGACGGCGUACCUUUUGUAUAAUGGGUCAGCGACUUACUAGUCUGUAGCGAGCCUAACCGUUUAGGGGAGGCGUAGGGAAACCGAGUCUGAAUAGGGCGACUAGUUGCAGGCUGUAGACCCGAAACCUGUCGAUCUAUCCAUGGCCAGGGUGAAGAGUGGGUAACACCACUUGGAGGCCCGCACUCACGCCUGUUGAAAAAGUCGGAGAUGAGCUGUGGAUAGGAGUGAAAGGCUAAUCAAGGCAGGAGAUAGCUGGUUCUCCUCGAAAGCUAUUGAGGUAGCGCCUCGUGUCUCACUCCGGGGGGUAGAGCACUGUUUCGGCUAGGGGGCUCACAAGAGCUUACCAAACCGAUGCAAACUCCGAAUACCCGGAAGUGCAAUCACGGGAGACACACGGCGAGAGCUAAAUUUCGUCGUGAAGAGGGAAACAACCCAGACCGCCAGCUAAGGUCCCUAAAUUAUCGCUAAGUGGUGAACGAUGUGGGAAGUCAUAGACAGCCAGGAGGUUGGCUUAGAAGCAGCCAUCCUUUAAAGAAAGCGUAAUAGCUCACUGGUCGAGUCGGCCCGCGCGGAAGAUGUAACGGGGCUAAGCGAUAUACCGAAGCUGCGGGUGCAUAGCUUGCUAUGCGCGGUAGAGGAGCGUUCUGUAAGCCUGUGAAGGUGAACUGUAAGGUUUGCUGGAGGUAUCAGAAGUGCGAAUGCUGACAUGAGUAACGAUAAUGCAGGUGAAAAACCUGCACGCCGUAAGCCCAAGGGUUCCUGCGCAACGUUAUUCGGCGCAGGGUGAGUCGGAUCCUAAGGCGAGGCCGAAAGGCGUAGUCGAUGGAAAACAGGUUAACAUUCCUGUACUUGUUGCAACUGCGAUGGGGUGACGGAGAAGGUUAGGCUAGCCGGGUGUUGGAAGUCCCGGUUCAAGCGUGUAGGUGGAUCUCUUAGGCAAAUCCGGGAGGUCAACACCGAGGCGUGAUGUCGAGGCCCUAUUGGGCCGAAGUAGUUGAGACCCCGCUUCCAGGAAAAACCUCUAAGCUUCAGGUUGCAAGAAUCCGUACCCGAAACCGACACAGGUGGGCGAGGAGAGUAUCCUAAGGCGUUUGAGAUAACUCGGGUGAAGGAACUCGGCAAAAUAGUACCGUAACUUCGGGAUAAGGUACGCCCCUUUUAUGUGAUCGCCCUCGCGGUGUGAGCAGAACGGGGUCGCAGUUAAGAGAGGGUGGCGACUGUUUAUCAAAAACACAGCACUCUGCAAACACGAAAGUGGACGUAUAGGGUGUGACUCCUGCCCGGUGCCGGAAGGUUAAUUGAUGGGGUUAGCGCAAGCGAAGCUCUUGAUCGAAGCCCCGGUAAACGGCGGCCGUAACUAUAACGGUCCUAAGGUAGCGAAAUUCCUUGUCGGGUAAGUUCCGACCUGCACGAAUGGAGUAACGAUCGCCCUACUGUCUCCACCCGAGGCUCAGUGAAAUUGAAAUCGCUGUGACGAUGCAGUGUUCCCGCGGCAAGACGGAAAGACCCCGUGAACCUUUACUACAACUUUGCACUGGAUUUUGAAUUUGUUUGUGUAGGAUAGGUGGGAGCCUUUGAAACCAGGACGCCAGUUCUGGUGGAGGCAACCUUGAAAUACCACCCUGACAAAUUCGAAGUUCUAACUUAGGCCCGUUAUCCGGGUCAAGGACAUUGCAUGGCGGGUAGUUUGACUGGGGCGGUCUCCUCCCAAAGAGUAACGGAGGAGUGCGAAGGUUACCUCAGCGCGGUCGGAAAUCGCGCUCUAGAGUGCAUAGGCAUAAGGUAGCUUGACUGCGAGACAGACAAGUCGAGCAGGUACGAAAGUAGGUCUAAGUGAUCCGGUGGUUCUGUAUGGAAGGGCCAUCGCUCAACGGAUAAAAGGUACUCCGGGGAUAACAGGCUGAUUCCUCCCAAGAGUCCACAUCGACGGAGGAGUUUGGCACCUCGAUGUCGGCUCAUCACAUCCUGGGGCUGUAGCAGGUCCCAAGGGUUCGGCUGUUCGCCGAUUAAAGUGGUACGCGAGCUGGGUUCAGAACGUCGUGAGACAGUUCGGUCCCUAUCUGCCGUGGGCGUUCGAAACUUGAGAGGAGCUGUCCUUAGUACGAGAGGACCGGGAUGGACACACCUCUGGUGUUCCGGUUGUCACGCCAGUGGCAUUGCCGGGUAGCUAUGUGUGGACGGGAUAACCGCUGAAAGCAUCUAAGCGGGAAGCCCACCUCAAGAUUAGGUUUCGCUGGAUCUUCGAGAUCCCUAAAGAGCCCAGAAAGACUAUCUGGUUGAUAGGCACGGUGUGGAAGUGUGGCAACACAUGAAGCUAACGUGUACUAAUUGCUCGUGAGGCUUGACCAU